UGGGGAAUAUUGCACAAUGGGCGAAAGCCUGAUGCAGCGACGCCGCGUGCGGGAUGACGGCCUUCGGGUUGUAAACCGCUUUCAGCAGGGACGAAGCGCAAGUGACGGUACCUGCAAAAGAAGCACCGGCUAACUACGUGCCAGCAGCCGCGGUAAUACGUAGGGUGCGAGCGUUGUUCGGAAUUACUGGGCGUAAAGAGCUCGUAGGCGGACUGUCACGUCGCCUGUGAAAGCCCGUGGCUCAACCACGGGUCUGCAGGCGAUACGGGCAGACUAGAGUACUGCAGGGGAGACUGGAAUUCCUGGUGUAGCGGUGGAAUGCGCAGAUAUCAGGAGGAACACCGGUGGCGAAGGCGGGUCUCUGGGCAGUAACUGACGCUGAGGAGCGAAAGCGUGGGGAGCGAACA
This 407-nucleotide ribosomal RNA is filed under the name uncultured bacterium. RNAcentral describes it as "bacterial SSU rRNA". It matches the Rfam family "Bacterial small subunit ribosomal RNA", at positions 355 to 774 of the family's 1533-position model. The record is from RNAcentral.